CUGUUUUUUUUUAAUUUUAUGGGUCUAGAAGGGCCACAUCACCAUCCAAGGGGGACCGUUGGGCAACGAAGGUCACCGCCAAAAUCCUAGCCUAAAGUUGCAAGGAGGGUUGGCAACAUCACCGAGGAAGGUUACUGGACGUCGGGGAUCGCCGUCGAAGUCGCCAAGGAUUGUCAGGUAUUGCUUUAACGACUUUAAGUGUCUAAUCGUUUUUUUUAUGUAUUUAGGGUGGUCCACAUCACCGAAGAAGGCCACCGGACAACGAGGUUCGCUGUCGGAGCCUCUUCGAUCGUCGCCCAAAAUUGUCAACAGGGCUACACCACCAUCGAAGAGGAUGCGUGACAUCGAGGAUCGCCGCUGGAGCAACGAGAUUGUCGGCACGGAAGGCCUCACCACCAUCGAAGAGGACGUUGGACGCUGAAGAGGACGCUGAAGCACCGACAUCGUCACCAUGGAUGUUCCAGGUAUAUGUGUUGUACAUUUAAUUGUCUAACCGUGUUUUUUUUAUUUAUUUAGGAGGGUUGCAUCAUCGCCCAAGAGGACCACUGGACAACUAGAUUCGUCGUCGGAAGUAUCAUAAUUGUCGCCCAGAAUAAUCAAGAGGGCUCCGCCACCAUCGAAGAGGAUGUUGGACGCUGACGGAGCCACCAUGAUCGUCGCCCAAAAUUGUCAAUUAGAAGGGCAUCAACACCAUCGAAGAGGAUACUGGUCAUCGAGGAUCGUCGCUGGAGCAACGAGGUCGUCACCGUGGAUGUUGCAGGUACAUGUUUACACUUUUAAGUGUUUAAUUAUGUUUUUUUUUAAUGUAUUUAGGAUGGUCCACAUAACCACCAGAGAGGGCCAUAGGACAAUGAAGUUUGUCGUUAGAGCUGCCGUGGUUGUCGCCCGAAA
Long non-coding RNA from Daphnia carinata, 891 nucleotides. RefSeq lists it as uncharacterized. The record is from RefSeq and is a predicted model, not a curated record. Lineage: Eukaryota; Metazoa; Arthropoda; Branchiopoda; Diplostraca; Daphniidae. The transcript has 6 exons.